RNAcentral lists this long non-coding RNA (749 nucleotides) under Phasianus colchicus (ring-necked pheasant). RNAcentral's name for it is "lncRNA (ENSPCLG00000017427.1)". Lineage: Eukaryota; Metazoa; Chordata; Aves; Galliformes; Phasianidae. The record is from RNAcentral.
UGUGACUUCCGUAAUGCAUAGGGAUAGGUACGUAGAAUUAGAGCAUUAACACUUCCAGUACAUGAUGUUUUGAUGUGGAAUAUUGAAAAUCAAAUAAGCAAAAACCAAAACCAUGACAAGCCGGUUCUGAAGAGCCCUUCCAUUUUUGAGAAGGCUGUGGGUUUAGUUCAGCAUCUCCAGAUGUGUCACACAGAUUCAAGGGCUUUCAAGAAGUCACUUCUUUGAAGUGUUGAAGAUGGUGAAUUCUGCUAGACAGAGCGCUUGUCUAAUCAAAUUCUGCUAGACAGAGCACUUGUCUGAUCAAACCUCUUAACUCCAAGGUUUGUUCUGCAGGUCCUGAUGGUGGCACAGGCAUUAAGCAGCCCAGAGCUCGUCACUGGGGAGAGGCUGCGCACUGUGUUGUGAAGGGAGAGAUGGAAGAGGGGUUUGAACAGCGUUGUGCAGGAAUGGAAAGCUGGUAAGAGAAGAGGUUACUGCCCUUCCAAGUGCGCUGCGGAUGGGCAGCACGAUGACAGCCCAAGGAUGGCAGCAGGAGAUGCAGCACAGCCCUCUCCAGCAGCAAGGCAGUGAAGGACUUCCCUUGCUGUGUAGGAAUGGUUCCCGUGCAAGGACAUGGUCGUCUGCCUGGAACAGAUACUGAAGGCAGGAGACGGGCAGCGGUACUGCAGCUCCUCUGGCAGUUUUGCAGCUACGUCAGGAAGCAGAAGAUGUGGAUUGGAAAGAACUCAGUUCUUGGGACGUUCCCCAGU